RNAcentral lists this ribosomal RNA (494 nucleotides) under uncultured bacterium. RNAcentral describes it as "partial 16S ribosomal RNA". It matches the Rfam family "Bacterial small subunit ribosomal RNA", at positions 28 to 506 of the family's 1533-position model. The record is from RNAcentral.
GACGAACGCUGGCGGCGUGCCUAAUACAUGCAAGUAGAACGCUGAAGGAGGAGCUUGCUUCUCUGGAUGAGUUGCGAACGGGUGAGUAACGCGUAGGUAACCUGCCUGGUAGCGGGGGAUAACUAUUGGAAACGAUAGCUAAUACCGCAUAAUAGCAGUUAUUGCAUGAUAACUGUUUGAAAGGUGCAAUUGCACCACUACCAGAUGGACCUGCGUUGUAUUAGCUAGUUGGUGGGGUAACGGCUCACCAAGGCGACGAUACAUAGCCGACCUGAGAGGGUGAUCGGCCACACUGGGACUGAGACACGGCCCAGACUCCUACGGGAGGCAGCAGUAGGGAAUCUUCGGCAAUGGACGGAAGUCUGACCGAGCAACGCCGCGUGAGUGAAGAAGGUUUUCGGAUCGUAAAGCUCUGUUGUAAGAGAAGAACGAGUGUGAGAGUGGAAAGUUCACACUGUGACGGGAUCUUACCAGAAAGGGACGGCUAACUACGU